UACGUAGGGGGCCAGCGUUGUCCGGAAUCAUUGGGCGUAAAGCGCGCGUAGGCGGUCAGGUAAGUCCGGUGUGAAAGUCAAAGGCUCAACCUUUGAAUGUCGAUGGAUACUGCCGGGCUAGAGUCCGGAAGAGGCGAGUGGAAUUCCUGGUAUAGCGGUGAAAUGCGUAGAUAUCAAGAGGAACACCUGCGGCGAAGGCGGGUUGCUGGGCCGACACUGACGCUGAGGCGCGAAAGCUAGGGGAGCGAACGGG
RNAcentral lists this ribosomal RNA (253 nucleotides) under uncultured bacterium. RNAcentral describes it as "partial 16S ribosomal RNA". It matches the Rfam family "Bacterial small subunit ribosomal RNA", at positions 524 to 776 of the family's 1533-position model. The record is from RNAcentral.